Molecule: long non-coding RNA, 1058 nt
Organism: Scleropages formosus (Asian bonytongue)
Lineage: Eukaryota; Metazoa; Chordata; Actinopteri; Osteoglossiformes; Osteoglossidae
Exons: 3
Source: RefSeq, a predicted model, not a curated record
AAAGGGUAUGUGAAACUUGAGUUAAAAAAAAAAAAUCAGGUAAUGACACGUAAAUAGCUUGGGAACUUCUGUAACUGAUUCUUCACAUAUCAUUACUAUUGAACUUCUUACAUCACAGUACAUUUCCUUUUUGCUCUGCAAAAUAUGACUUCUGAGAAAGUAAAGCUCACACUGCGGUGGCUCAAGGCUCAUAUUAAGUGAUCACUGGGAAAAAGAAAACAUUUUAAUACAGGGAAACAGGUUCAACAAUAUGAGUUUAUGACUUCAUUUUGCUAUAAAAUCCUGCUGUUUCCAAGAAAGGUAUGCUUAACACGGUUCUCUCUCUCCCUGAAAGCUAAAGGAGGUUCACUCAACCUUAACGCUUCCAAUGAGCCGGAUCACUAAGGGUGAAUACAAUCCUGCAGUGACUUCCCUUCCUUGUGGUGCAGCACUGCAUGGUACUGCUAGGACAGGGAAGCAGGGGAAGCAGACAUUCAUUUCAAAAAGUGUGUGGAAACCACUUUAAAAGGAUAUUAAUCGUCACCAUGGUAGUUAACGGACCUUUUCUCUCUAGCCUAAUAUUCCAAGCACAGGAGGAAAAAGCAUCAGGACCAAGUAUAGCAGUGAUGGCAAGAGCUCAACAGAGCAAUGGACUCAGUCACAGACAAGUACUUGCAGAACCAACUUCCUCUGCUGCAAAUGACACAAAAUGGUUAUAUGAUGUCCUCCUCAUCAUUGCCAUGGUCUGCGCCGGAAGGAAGAUGGCGGACACAAAAUGCAGAGCUCCAGGCUUUAUUAAAGGGGAAAUCCAGAAAUCUAAGUCAUCAUACAGGCCAGCUGCUUCCAGAGAGUCUGCUGGUUCCUCCCACGCCUCCUGGACCAGGACCCAGGCCCGGCACGUAAAGACAGCACUUCAAGCCAGCUCAGAGCGAUCCCCAGCUGCUCUCUGGCAACUGCAGACCAUUUGUUUGUUGCCACAAUCAGUCUUCGGCAGACGCGGUAGCAGAGGUCCCUAGUUCAAAUCCACUUCCGCUGCAAUACUGACUGUUUGAUAUACCAAAAUCGCUCAUGUAAAAAAU